UCUAUGCUCACCCAACCUGUGACUGAGUGUUUCUAUCUCUGGUGCACGGCCCUGUUUGGAGUCUCCAAACCCAGCAGAUUCCUGCUGAGUGUUCCCACGCUGCUCCUCCCAGAGGAGAAAGAGGGGGGUCUCCCAGAUCUGCCACUUGUGGGGUCCCUGCCUGAAGAGUAGUGGCCUAACUGUGCCUUGAAUCAUGGUUUAAGCCCAGAAAAACCACAAAGAAUUUGAACCAAAGCAAUUUGAAGAGCAGAAUUGCAGGAAGCAGAAGACGGCCUGUAAACUGUCGGGUCUCGGAAUCCUCCCCUGCCCUUCGUCAGAGUCAGGUGUGGGGACAAGAUGGACAGUGGAGGCCCUCGUGGAGCCAAGUGGGAGGACAGUUGGCCCAGACAAUGCCAGGCAUGGAGUAGGUUCACAUCAAAAGUUCAUGGAAUGGAGUUGGAGGUAUGAUAUCCAGAGACGCUAAGCA
This is a long non-coding RNA of Mustela lutreola (European mink), 466 nucleotides long. RefSeq lists it as uncharacterized. NCBI's taxonomy places the organism in Eukaryota, Metazoa, Chordata, Mammalia, Carnivora, Mustelidae. The record is from RefSeq and is a predicted model, not a curated record. The transcript has 3 exons.